Molecule: long non-coding RNA, 585 nt
Filed under: Malus domestica (apple)
Lineage: Eukaryota; Viridiplantae; Streptophyta; Magnoliopsida; Rosales; Rosaceae
Description: long non-coding RNA (MDOM_LNC009685)
Source: RNAcentral
UGAAUACAAUGAUUGAAUUCGAUCUUCAAUUUAAAAUAUUUACACAAGUGGAUACCACAAAAUCUUAUAUUAUACUUAAUAAAAGUAUGAAUAAACUAUUAAGUAUUAGUGAAUCUAUUGUUUUGAUGGGAUACUCAUUCUACGAAACUAGUUUCAAUGAUCCAACCGUCAAACAUAUUUAUAUAUACUUCGAGAUCGCAUACGCCAAAAAUUGCAAAAAACAAACAUUCAGAGAUUAAGUAACGGGACAAAACUUUUCGACGGUUAUAAACGAAAAAUCACGAUUUAACGGUCAUUUUAACUCCGAUUUUGAUGAUUUUUUACAACUACACUCCUUGACCCUAUAUGAAUACAAUGAUUGAUUUCGAUCUUCAAUUUAAAAUAUUUGCACUAGUGGAAACCACAAAAUCUUAUGUUAUACUUAAUAAAAGUAUGAAUAAACUCUUAAGUAUUAGUGAAUCUAUUGUUUUGAUGGGAUACUCAUUCUACGAAAUUAGUUUCAAUGAUCCAACCGUCAAACAUGUUUGUACAUAUUUCGAGAUCGCAUACGCCAAAAAUUGCAAAAAACAAACAUUCAGAGAGCAC